This 99-nucleotide signal recognition particle RNA is filed under the name Chloroflexi bacterium RBG_16_48_8. RNAcentral's name for it is "signal recognition particle sRNA small type". It matches the Rfam family "Bacterial small signal recognition particle RNA". From Rfam's summary of the family: The signal recognition particle (SRP) is a universally conserved ribonucleoprotein involved in the co-translational targeting of proteins to membranes. Archaeal SRP consists of a 7S RNA and homologues of the eukaryotic SRP19 and SRP54 proteins. Lineage: Bacteria; Bacillati; Chloroflexota. The record is from RNAcentral.
GGGUGGGUCCAGCGCGGCGAUGCCCUUUGAAAUCCGUCAGGUCCGAGAGGAAGCAGCGGUACAGAGGCGCUAUCGGGUGCCGCUGGGGUUCCGAUCCAG